AGCUCCAAUAGCGUAUACUAAUGUUGUUGCAGUUAAAAAGCUCGUAGUCGGAUUUCAGGAUUAGUUGUCGCCCUAUUACUGGGUUGUACUUCUACCCUUCCUAACGAACAGCUAUCAUUUCAUUUAUUUGAUGUGGUAGUCUAUCGUUUCUUUUACUUUGAGAAAAUUAGAGUGUUCAAAGCAGGCUUCUGCCCGAAUAUUACUCUUGGAAUAAUACUAUAGGACCUUGGACUUAUUUGAUGGUGAGUAGGACUGAGGUAAUGAUUGAUAGGGACGGUUGGGGUCAUUCGUACUGUAAAGCGAGCGGUGAAAUGCUUGGACCUUUAUAUGACGACCUACUGCGAAAGCAUUUGACUAGGACGUUCCCG
RNAcentral lists this ribosomal RNA (368 nucleotides) under uncultured eukaryote. RNAcentral's name for it is "SSU rRNA". It matches the Rfam family "Eukaryotic small subunit ribosomal RNA", at positions 587 to 972 of the family's 1831-position model. The record is from RNAcentral.